GGAGAAGAAAAGAGCUAAAACCAUAGAUGAUCCUGCGGAGAAAUUUGAAUUUCUACUUAUUUUGUUUGAGGCCCAAAAUUUUUGUUCUGAUUAUUUUGUGCGCGGUGUGAGAAUUGCUUGAAGACUGAAACUGCCAAGUUCCAAGCACUCUAUGAGAAGUUUUGCAAGGACCAAGCCAACCAUCUACAGGCCUUGAAAGGCAUCAUUUCCAACUAUGAAGAAGAGAAGGAAAGGCUCUGCACACGAUAUGAACAACUGAGAAAGAAAGAAAGG
Long non-coding RNA from Prunus dulcis (almond), 273 nucleotides. RefSeq lists it as uncharacterized. The record is from RefSeq and is a predicted model, not a curated record. The transcript is spliced from 3 exons. Lineage: Eukaryota; Viridiplantae; Streptophyta; Magnoliopsida; Rosales; Rosaceae.